ACCUCGGAUCAGGUAGGGAUA
This 21-nucleotide ribosomal RNA is filed under the name Mycocentrospora acerina. RNAcentral's name for it is "partial 28S ribosomal RNA". The record is from RNAcentral. Lineage: Eukaryota; Fungi; Ascomycota; Dothideomycetes; Pleosporales.